GACGAACGCUGGCGGCGUGCUUAACACAUGCAAGUCGAACGGUAAGGCCCUUCGGGGUACACGAGUGGCGAACGGGUGAGUAACACGUGGGUGAUCUGCCCUGCACUUCGGGAUAAGCCUGGGAAACUGGGUCUAAUACCGGAUAGGACCACUGCCUGCAUGGGUGGUGGUGGAAAGCUUUUGCGGUGUGGGAUGGGCCCGCGGCCUAUCAGCUUGUUGGUGGGGUGAUGGCCUACAAAGGCGACGACGGGUAGCCGGCCUGGGAGGGUGACCGGCUACACGGGGACUGGGAUACGGCCCAGACUCAUACGGGAGGCAGCAGUGGGGAAUAUUGCACAAUGGGCGCAAGCCUGAUGCAGCGACGCCGCGUGAGGGAUGACGGCCUUCGGGUUGUAAACCUCUUUCAGCACCGACGAAGCGCAAGUGACGGUAGGUGCAGAAGAAGGACCGGCCAACUACGUGCCAGCAGCCGCCGUAA
Molecule: ribosomal RNA, 478 nt
Filed under: uncultured bacterium
Lineage: Bacteria
Description: partial 16S ribosomal RNA
Rfam family: Bacterial small subunit ribosomal RNA
Source: RNAcentral